RNAcentral lists this transfer-messenger RNA (347 nucleotides) under bacterium BMS3Abin10. Its description in RNAcentral is "transfer-messenger RNA, SsrA". It matches the Rfam family "transfer-messenger RNA". From Rfam's summary of the family: Bacterial tmRNA, also known as 10Sa RNA or SsrA, is named for its dual tRNA and mRNA-like properties. Its role is to liberate the mRNA from a stalled ribosome. To accomplish this part of the tmRNA is used as a reading frame that ends in a translation stop signal. RNAcentral also lists the same sequence under 5 other names. The record is from RNAcentral.
GGGGGCGACAGGCCUCGACGGUGGUUGCGAGGUCUGAACUGCAUGCCGUGGAAUUGUCACCACGUUAAAAAGACAAGAAAAAUUCAAACGCCAAUACAGAACUGGCACUCGCGGCUUAAUUAAGCCGCGCGCUUCUCUGUGAAUGCCUGCGGCACAGAACAAGCGUCAUCAAGCAGGCUGGCCUGAAGUCAUUUCCUCUGGUCUUCAGGUAAGAUCUCAGGGGAUAGGGUUCAAGAGGGCUUUUCUGCCGGCACACCUGAUCCCGAAUCUUAAAUAGGCAGAACAAGCAUGUAGACGUUCAGAAGUAGUACUGCCGGACCCGGGUUCGAAUCCCGGCGCCUCCACCA